AGAGUUUGAUCCUGGCUCGGAUUGAACGCUGGCGGCAUGCCUUACACAUGCAAGUCGAACGCGAAAGGCGGGCAACUGCCGAGUAGAGUGGCGAACGGGUGAGUAACACAUCGGAACGUACCCUGUCGUGGGGGAUAACGCAGCGAAAGCUGUGCUAAUACCGCAUACGACCUGAGGGAGAAAGCGGGGGACCUGGGCAACCGGGCCUCGCGCGACUGGAGCGGCCGAUGUCAGAUUAGCUAGUUGGCGGGGUAAGAGCCCACCACGGCGACGAUCUGUAGCUGGUCUGAGAGGAUGAGCAGCCACACUGGGACUGAGACACGGCCCAGACUCCUACGGGAGGCAGCAGUGGGGAAUUUUGGACAAUGGGCGCAAGCCUGAUCCAGCCAUGCCGCGUGAGUGAAGAAGGCCUUCGGGUUGUAAAGCUCUUUCGGCCGGAACGAAAUCGCAGCGCCCAACACGCGCUGUGGAUGACGGUACCGGAAGAAGAAGCACCGGCUAACUACGUGCCAGCCGCCGCGGUAAUUC
This 528-nucleotide ribosomal RNA is filed under the name uncultured bacterium. RNAcentral's name for it is "bacterial SSU rRNA". It matches the Rfam family "Bacterial small subunit ribosomal RNA", at positions 8 to 526 of the family's 1533-position model. The record is from RNAcentral.